This 380-nucleotide ribosomal RNA is filed under the name uncultured soil bacterium. Its description in RNAcentral is "bacterial SSU rRNA". It matches the Rfam family "Bacterial small subunit ribosomal RNA", at positions 26 to 418 of the family's 1533-position model. The record is from RNAcentral.
AGAUUGAACGCUGGCGGCAUGCCUAACACAUGCAAGUCGAACGGGAGUAGCAAUACUCUAGUGGCGGACGGGUGAGGAAUACGUAGGAAUUUGCCCUUAAGUGGGGGAUAACCCGGGGAAACCCGGAUUAAUACCGCAUGACCUCGAAAGAGCAAAGUGGGGGAUCGCAAGACCUCACGCUUUUGGAGAAGCCUACGUCGGAUUAGCUAGUUGGUGAGGUAAUGGCUCACCAAGGCGACGAUCCGUAACUGGUCUGAGAGGAUGAUCAGUCACACCGGAACUGAGACACGGUCCGGACUCCUACGGGAGGCAGCAGUGGGGAAUAUUGGACAAUGGGCGCAAGCCUGAUCCAGCAAUGCCGCGUGUGUGAAGAAGGCCUU